UACGGGGGGGGCAAGCGUUGUUCGGAAUUACUGGGCGUAAAGGGCUCGUAGGCGGCCAACUAAGUCGGACGUGAAAUCCCCAGGCUCAACCUGGGAACUGCGUCCGAUACUGGAUGGCUUGAAUUCGGGAGAGGGAUGCAGAAUUCCAGGUGUAGCGGUGAAAUGCGUAGAUAUCUGGAGGAAUACCGGUGGCGAAGGCGGCAUCCUGGACCGACAUUGACGCUGAGGCGCGAAAGCGUGGGUAGCAAACAGG
RNAcentral lists this ribosomal RNA (253 nucleotides) under uncultured bacterium. RNAcentral's name for it is "partial 16S ribosomal RNA". It matches the Rfam family "Bacterial small subunit ribosomal RNA", at positions 524 to 776 of the family's 1533-position model. The record is from RNAcentral.